GUGGGGAAUAUUGGGCAAUGGGCGCAAGCCUGACCCAGCAACGCCGCGUGAGGGAAGAAGGCUUUCGGGUUGUAAACCUCUGUCCUUGGUGACGAAAAAAAUGACGGUAGCCAAGGAGGAAGCCCCGGCUAACUACGUGCCAGCAGCCGCGGUAAUACGUAGGGGGCGAGCGUUGUCCGGAAUUACUGGGCGUAAAGGGUGCGUAGGUGGCCUUUUAAGUUGGAUGUGAAAUACCCGGGCUUAACUUGGGGGGUGCAUCCAAAACUGGGUGGCUAGAGUGCAGGAGAGGAAAGCGGAAUUCCUAGUGUAGCGGUGAAAUGCGUAGAUAUUAGGAGGAACACCAGUGGCGAAGGCGGCUUUCUGGACUGUAACUGACACUGAGGCACGAAAGCGUGGGGAGCAAACAGGAUUAGAAACCCGGGUAGUCC
This 428-nucleotide ribosomal RNA is filed under the name uncultured bacterium. Its description in RNAcentral is "partial 16S ribosomal RNA". It matches the Rfam family "Bacterial small subunit ribosomal RNA", at positions 354 to 796 of the family's 1533-position model. The record is from RNAcentral.